RNAcentral lists this ribosomal RNA (577 nucleotides) under Salmonella enterica. RNAcentral describes it as "partial 23S ribosomal RNA". It matches the Rfam family "Bacterial large subunit ribosomal RNA", at positions 672 to 1247 of the family's 2925-position model. Lineage: Bacteria; Pseudomonadati; Pseudomonadota; Gammaproteobacteria; Enterobacterales; Enterobacteriaceae. The record is from RNAcentral.
GGAAACCGAGUCUUAACCGGGCGUUAAGUUGCAGGGUAUAGACCCGAAACCCGGUGAUCUAGCCAUGGGCAGGUUGAAGGUUGGGUAACACUAACUGGAGGACCGAACCGACUAAUGUUGAAAAAUUAGCGGAUGACCUGUGGCUGGGGGUGAAAGGCCAAUCAAACCGGGAGAUAGCUGGUUCUCCCCGAAAGCUAUUUAGGUAGCGCCUCGUGAAUUCAUCUCCGGGGGUAGAGCACUGUUUCGGCUAGGGGGCCAUCCCGGCUUACCAACCCGAUGCAAACUGCGAAUACCGGAGAAUGUUAUCACGGGAGACACACGGCGGGUGCUAACGUCCGUCGUGAAGAGGGAAACAACCCAGACCGCCAGCUAAGGUCCCAAAGUCAUGGUUAAGUGGGAAACGAUGUGGGAAGGCCCAGACAGCCAGGAUGUUGGCUUAGAAGCAGCCAUCAUUUAAAGAAAGCGUAAUAGCUCACUGGUCGAGUCGGCCUGCGCGGAAGAUGUAACGGGGCUAAACCAUGCACCGAAGCUGCGGCAGCGACACUGUGUGUUGUUGGGUAGGGGAGCGUUCUGUAAG